AGAGGCCGAACUAACAGCCUGAGUGGAUAACGUCAUUUACUGUUACAGGUCUGAGCAUUGGCCUCAGAACUCCUCUGGUGCUGGGAGUGAGGAGUUUCAAGGUGACUGCUUUUUAGCUCCAGGGGAGAAAGGAGGGCACAGUGCCCAAGGCCAUGCCAGGGCAAGGACGGGCCACUGGCCCCCGCCGGCCGAGUCAACCAGAGGCAAAGCCAGAUUGAGGGUUCCCAGGCUGACAAAUGUCUGCUGCCUCUGCCACAGGAGAGAGAAGGGGAAAGAGGGCAAAAGAAACAAAGACAUCACGCGUUGCAAGUGGCUGGACUUUUAAAAACCUACCUUUGCCUCCAGGGUUUUCUAGGUUACUGUCACCCCACUUCCUAAAAAGUGUCUCCCCCCUCAUCCUAUUUAAGACCUGAUGCAGUCUCCCCACUGGUUCUCCCAGGGAAAGAAAAGGGGAAAUGUUUUGUUGAAAAUAAAAGGGAUGACAAGAAAGAAAGGAAAAAAAGCUAUUGUUUUCAUCCCUAAUUUAUAAUCCAAGAGGCCCCCAAUUGUUUCUUUCUGACUCAAAUCUUUGAGCUGUUAAUUAUAAAAGUAACUGGACUUGGCGCCAACGGGCUAACUAUGAUCAGGCUCAGCAAUUAGAAAAACUCUGUAGAAAGUUUACUGAGUGAUUAUAUAUAAUUAAUUCCUAGUUACAGACUGAACACUGACCAUUUUCUGGAGCUAAUAAAAGCAGUUACUCCCCCUCCCCCACGUGAAUGCCACUUAAUUUCCCAAAGCAGAAAGUGAAUCCAUCCUGGAGGGUCUUGAAGGAAAAAAAAGGAGAGGAAUCAAAAGCUUCAGUGUGUCUGUGUUUGCUCCUUGCAGCUGUGUAUCCUCUUUGGGGACUGAGGAGGCAGAAGGAAAAAGGAAAACAGCCCAACAUUCUGUUCCUCCUUCUGCAAUUUACAAACGUGGCAGAGAGAACAUUCUACCUUGAUGAGAAAAAGAAGGGGGGUUGGGGGGAAGCAGGGAAGGGAGAUGACCUAGGAAUGGAAGGUAGGAGACGCUUCUGCUUGGCAGAUCUGCUUUUCCUAAAAGGAACAAAGAUGGUAGAAAUUUCCAGAAGGCCCGUUCUUAGUUCGGCCACUGCAAUUGUCAAUCUUUAACCUUUCCUCCAAGUCUAUUGGUUUAAAAGCUAGAGUAGAAGAACCCCAUUGGGCUGCUCUGGGAGCCAGUACUGCCGUCCCUACCUAGUCCUGCUGCAAUGCAGACAUUUAUUUUUUUCCCCCUUUCCUGAAACUGGAAAAUAAUGCUACUUUGAAAGCAAUUAACUUUUUACAGACUCAUGCUUGGUAGGGGUCACAGUACCAGAGGAAAAGUGGCUAGCUUGGUCCAGGGUUGGGAACUUGCUGGGGGCUGUACAUUUGAAAACAGAUCUUGGCUCUCCAAACCUGUGGGAGCCAUUUUAAUGCAAGCUUUUAGAGGACAAAUGCCUUGCCCUUAAGUUCCCUUCCAGCCCAACAAACACAGUAUUAUGCAAACGUUGAAGGCACCAAACCAGGAGUCUUAUGAUUAGAUAUUGCUUCUAGGGAGGCCACAAGAACCUCGAUAUGUAAUUUCCAUUUACAGCAAGGAGAUAAGAACAAAGAAAAUAGCUGAGUGUCUGAACUUACUUGUUUGGGGCAGUGGCACUGUUCAGUUUUAAGUAUAUAACAUCAUUAACUGCCUGCAGUUUUACUCUAAGAAGCUAAGCUGGCCUGCCUUGCACAGACUUUUCUCAACUUAGAAUGUGGUACGUUUCUGCUGAUUAAAUGAGCCUUUUUCCAAUUCGGUGUCAGAAAGUGGGCUACUGGACACUCAUUUGAAAGAAAAAAGAUUACUGACUCCAUAAAGUUGACAUAACACAGCAAUUGAAUAUAUUUCCUGCAUUUACGGUCAUGUCGGAUUGGUCUCCAAGCUGAAAAUUUAUGUACUGAACUUCUAGGGAAAUUCUGAAGGUACUGCUAAACAAGACUCUACUUUUCCCACUUAACUUCUAGCUGCAGCCUUAAGUGGUCAAGGGAAAUGUAAAAAGUGAGAAAUCUUAUGUGGGGCCAGCAUGCAUACAGAUGUGUGGAGGAGACCUGAAAAAAGGCCAAAAUGUGUUGGUCAGUGAGUCCUGAAUCAAACCCAGUCUGGUGGUAGAUGAGAUUUUGCACUAUACAUAAGUCCUAAAACAUGAGCACACUGACACCACCCCCCCAACACACACAUACCACCACCACCACCAGCUUCUACACCACCAAUGUUUUUAGGGCUCUGCACCUCUAAGAACAAGCAGUUUCAUGACAUUUCACAAGCACAUCACCUACUCACAGUUUGAAUAUCCAAACAAACCCCAUUAAAGGUCUAGAGUCAAGUCACAAUGAACUGAACAUUUCUCCCCUGACUCAGGGUAAACAGGAAGUAUAAUCUUCAAUCCUAGCUGCAGGUUAUCAGGAAAAACAGUGGAUUCAAACAGUCACCUAAAAUCAAGACACUCUUUAAAAAGCCCUUAUUUUGUUCCUGCUAAUGAAGCCCCCAACUCCUGUAGCCAAGACCCACUAUUACAAACAGACCCCAAAUGUUCGCAAAACUCUUCAAACAUGGUCACAGAGGAAAUGGAUUGCUUUACUUACCCAACAAAUGUUCAAGCAACCGUCUCAUUUUUCCACAGUUAGGAAGAGAGAACAGGCUGGCAGAUUUGGGACUUGAUCAAAAAGGAAAUUUUUUUAAACAGUUACAUGGUAUUAUUAAAAACACACACAACAACAACAACACAACCCAACAACUGAAUAUGGAAUGCUGUCAUGAGCCACAGACAUGAUUUUAUUUCCUCUACACUCCAUGACACAGGAGAAGAGAGGAGGAUACAAUGUAUAAAAGGGACAGGAAAAUGAAAACAAGGAUAAAAGGUAACAUUAGUUCCUUGAAAAUCAUGCAAGAGUAGAAAGCUAAGGGAUUCAGAAUCCUUGCAGAUUUUUUUUUUUUUUUUUUUUUGCAGGAUGUUGUCCAAGAUCUCUCCCCCCACCCCCCAGUCCCCAUCCCUACUCCAAAAAACUUCCUCCAAAGCCUAGAAAACACUUUCAGAAACAUUUGCUGGCUGUAGGCUGGCUUGCAGAACACUCUGUAGCAACCUAAGUCAGGAAAACAGGCUGAACAAUGUAGUUUCAAGUGCAGAAGCUCUGUAGAAUAAGAGAAGACCGUGUACAGACACCACCACCCACCUAGGCCCCAGGAGCUAGACUCUCCUUAGCACUGCUCUGCUGAGGGCACAAUUCUUUUGCAAACACGCUCCUCUCUUGUCAAAACUUAUCCAGCCUUCCCAGAACCUCUUUGGAGAGGCAAACUUGCCUGCUCUGCUGUCUGCCAUGAGCUCUCCUUGGAGAGGAGCCUGUUUGCUUACCUUCCAUUUUCUUCCCCCAGCAGGGCAUGUGGCAAAAGAGAAGACAAUAGUGCAGGGGUGGGAGGGGGGGAACUGCUCAGAGAGAGAGAGAGGGGAAGAGAGAGGGAAGAGGGAAAGAAAAAAAAAAAAAGAAGGAAAAAAAAAAGCUUCUUUUUUGGCAUACCAGGAUCUAGCUUCAAACUCUUCCAGAAACACCAUGCCCUGGUGGAAGGAAAGGUGUGCCAGGCCCUUGCCAGUUUGCAAAAUCAAGCUAUGGCUAAUGGCUACUGAGCCAUGUGACCCAAGAAAGCAAAAAAAUUCUCUCUAAACAGUUCCAAGUUAACAUAAGUGCUCUGGGGGUGAGUGUGGCACGGCCAGCCACAGAGAAAUCACACUGCUCGCCCACAAUUCGGAUGUCUCAGAGGGAGGGGGAAAAAAGAUGGUUAAAAAGUCGAGCUUACCUCUGUGGAUGCAUUGUUAACACUGUGUAAUGUCAAUACUUAUAAAACAUGGAGGACAGGCUCCUAGUUCUCACAGAAAAAGGGUUUGGCACUUCGGCUGAUGAUCUGGCCGCCUAAUAAAAGCUCAUCCCCGAUUGGCUGCCCCGGCAAAUCGGAGUGUAAAGCCGCCCCGGAUUGGCUGAAACACUUCCUGAGCGAUUAUCUUUGUGAGGCUCGGGUGAGCAAGAGCCAUCCUGUGCAUAGAAAAAGACAGGCUAAGCUAGGCCUUUUGCAGCAAGAAAAACUUGGGAAAGGGGCCCCCACACGCACUUCUCCUGCACCCUGGCUAGAUUUCCCGGCACGGGCCAGCCAGGGCAGCCAGCCUGACCUGCUCCAGGAAAGCCUGAGGCCCGGAGGUCCCUGGGAAGGGAGUUUCUUGGAGUGGGCUGGAACGGCUCACCCUCACCUGCCCCCAGAGAAACGGCCCUUGUCCAGGGAGGAAGGCCAGCCUUUUUCUAGAACAGUCCAGCAGGGUGGCUCUCCAAGGGGAAGGGGAAGCUGGGGAGUGGGGAGUCCCGGGGAAACAGCCAAGGGGCCAGAAAAAGGGGCUUGAGGCAGGCCUCUGAGAAGCUGGGGGAAGCAGGCAGCCCGGGGGAGCCCCGAAAAAUCAGCAGAGAGCAGCCCUGGCUUCUCAGAGGAGCGAGGAGUAGCUGCUGAGGGGAGGAGGGGAGCAGAGUGGUCAAGUUUGCAUAGUCAUUGUCCCCAUGCCUCCUUGCAAGGCAGGCCAGGGAGCCGUGGGCCUCUCGCGCCCUGCUUAGCCAGUCCUGCAGGCAAAAUCAACGUGGGUUCCUGUCGCCCUGCCACGAUGCCAAGGGGGACCCCUCUCGGUCCUUACCCUAAGAAAAACCCAAAGCCCUCCUCGCAGGCCACAUGCCUGGAUCUACAAACUUCCCUUCCCUCCCGGCCCCUCCCCCGCGGCCGAGACCUGCUAAACCUGUCAGUUAAACACAAAUCUGACUUCCGUAUUAGCCUGCGAUGCCUUCGGCUUCCUGCCUGUUAACCCUCUCUCGGACUCGGGGCCUGGCUGGGAAAAACUAGGCCUUGAGAUCGCAGCGAAGGCCUGUGGAAAAAUACCAGCUGCAGCUCUCCCGGCAGAUGCAGAAAGAGAGAGAGAGAGCCGCUGUCUCUCAGCCUUUGCUUCCCAGGGAGGCGUGUACCUUGUGAAUCCAGGGCACAGGCAGUGCCUCUCGGGCUGAGAAGCCAUUUCAAUCCAGAGGGAGACAGAAAGAUGGCACGCUCAGCCCGGAAACAAGAGCCCCCAUUAUGCGUCAGGCCUACCCCCGUAGGUCAGCCCUUCCUGCCACAAUCAUCCCUGUAUGUGUGUGCCUGGGGGAGUUGGGCCCUCCUCGGUGGGCAGACAAAUCCCCUGGGCUUCCUAAGGAUUCUUGCUUCCAUUUAUUUGCACAGAGAACGGCUUCUUUUCGUCCCCCAAGGCAGAUGGAGCAGCGAUUUCACACACAGCCCUCCAUUUGGCAGCCCCCCCACCCCCCCAUCUCUGGCACCGCUCCCCAGUAAAAUAUUAACUGGUUGUUCAGAGCUGCUUACAAUUCUACCCACUUCAAUUGCGUUAGGAGGUCUUUGCUGGUCUCCUCCCUAAAGCUGCCUUCGCAGUUGGUCUGUACCCAGAGAUAGAAAAGGACCGUAAAAUGUCCCCAGCUUUCUCGCUCUCUUUCCUUCUUCGGCAUUUUAAAUGACAAGGUGCUUAAUUAACAGGAUUUUUUAAAACAGCAACCUGGAACCACAGAAGCUAAAUAAACACCAUUCUUUAGAGGCUGGAGAAAGCGUCCAGAGUUAACGCAGCCAUAUGCCAGGAGGCAUAACUCCGGAGCAAUAAAGUCUCCC
Molecule: long non-coding RNA, 5724 nt
Filed under: Homo sapiens (human)
Lineage: Eukaryota; Metazoa; Chordata; Mammalia; Primates; Hominidae
Description: HSALNT0401325
Source: RNAcentral